This 78-nucleotide non-coding RNA is filed under the name unclassified sequences. The record is from Rfam.
GGUAUUUGAAGUAGAGAAUGUGCUGCUACGCACCAUAAGGUCAAAAGAAAUGUGGAAUUGGCACUUCCACCAAAUACC